GGAGAAAUGGAGAGUGAGGGGUAUGCAAGCUAUGUAGAGAGAGUAGAGCAGUAGCAGCUCUGGGAGCAGUGCAGUCAGGACAGUAACCCCCCCUGCACCUGCCUGUCUACACACUGGGGCCAUUGUGCUCCAGUCACACACACACUCUCGCUAGUGUUAGUGAGGUCACCUAACUUAGCCUAGGUGUUUAGAUGGUGUGUGUGAGCAGCCCCUGGCUCACCUAACCUGGCCAUGGUAUAGUUGGAGUAAGGUGUGUGUGUGUGUGUGUGUCUGUCUUUGUGUGUGUCUUUGUGUCUGGGCUCUGGCUGGGAGACAGGUGGAGAAAAAGGGGAGGUGGUGCGUGUGUGUGUGUGUGUAGGCUUUGUGUUGCUGGCAACAACAGUGCACUGUGGCAAGCCAUUGAGUCACAGCAUUGGUGGCGUGGAUUUCUCUGUUCCAGUGCAGGUGUGUGUGGGCUCCCUGUGCGUGGUGUUGUCUGUUGUUCUGUCUGCUUGUGUGUGUGUGUGUGUGUACCAGUUGUGUCCCUGGUGUGUGGGUGUGUGUCAGUCUUUCUCUUCUCUGUGUGUGUGGCUGCAGGCAAGGAGGGGAGAGAAGGAGAGAAGUGUGUGGGACUGUGAGUUGCUUCAGAAUUCUCUCGUUCCUCUGGCUUGUGUGUGUUUUGUGGGUGAAAGAUAUCUGCCUGAUUUGCUGGUAUCAAUUGGUGUACAGGGAUGUUGUAGUGUUGUUGGAGGUUAGGACUAGUAACAGUGAUGUUGUAGUGGAGGUUAGGACUGGUAACAGGGAUGUUGUAGUGUUGGUGGAGGUUAGGACUGGUAACAGGGAUGUUGUAGUGGAGGUUAGGACUAGUAACAGGGAUGUUGUAGUGGAGGUUAGGACUAGUAACAGGGAUGUUGUAGUGUUGUUGGAGGUUAGGACUUGUAACAGGGAUGUUGUAGUGUUGUUGGAGGUUAGGACAAGUAACAGGGAUGUUGUAGUGUUGGUGGAGGUUAGAAUUAGUAACAGGGAUGUUGUAGUGGAGGUUAGGACUGGUAACAGGGAUGUUGUAGUGGAGGUUAGGACAAGUAACAGGGAUGUUGUAGUGUUGUUGGAGGUUAGGACUAGUAACAGGGAUGUUGUAGUGGAGGUUAGGACUAGUAACAGGGAUGUUGUAGUGUUUGUAGAGGUUAGGACUAGUAACAGGGAUGUUGUAGUGUUGGUGGAGGUUUGGAGGAGUAACAGGGAUGUUGGUGGAGGUUAGGAGGAGUAACAGGGAUGUUGUAGUGUUGGUGGAGGUUAGGAGUAGUAACAGGGAUGUUGUAGUGUUGGUGGAGGUUAGGAGUAGUAACAGGGAUGUUGUAGUGUUGGUGGAGGUCAGGAGUAGUAACAGGGUUUCUGAGCCAUGCUGGUGUUGAUGUUGUCUCUAUGGAAGUGCUGCCCUGGAAGAACAAGGUAGUCAUCCAGUGUUGUCGAC
Oncorhynchus tshawytscha (Chinook salmon) is the source of this 1450-nucleotide long non-coding RNA. The record is from Ensembl. Lineage: Eukaryota; Metazoa; Chordata; Actinopteri; Salmoniformes; Salmonidae.